CAGCCGCCGCGGUAAUACGAGGGGGGCAAGCGUUGUUCGGAAUUAUUGGGCGUAAAGGGUGCGUAGGCGGCUUGACAAGUCUUGUGUGAAAUCUAUGGGCUCAACCCAUAGUCUGCACGGGAAACUGUCGGGCUUGAGAAUGGGAGAGGUGAGUGGAAUUUCCGGUGUAGCGGUGAAAUGCGUAGAUACCGGAAGGAACACCUGUGGCGAAAGCGGCUCACUGGACCAUUUCUGACGCUGAUGCACGAAAGCUAGGGGAGCAAACAGGAUUAGAUACCCCCGUAGUCCCUGUCUCUUAUAC
Molecule: ribosomal RNA, 301 nt
Filed under: uncultured bacterium
Lineage: Bacteria
Description: partial 16S ribosomal RNA
Rfam family: Bacterial small subunit ribosomal RNA
Source: RNAcentral